CAAAAAGAAUUGAAAUUAAUGGAGAAACAGAGAUUGCAGGAGAAGAUGGAGAGAGAAGAAGAAAUAUUUUCCAUUUCCUUGCUUUCUAUGACGUGUUCCCCUCUACAUAUAUCUUUUACCCCUCAACAUUACACGUGUAACUAACCAACAAAUGAAUGAUUCAAAGAAAAAACAGUCACAACAAAAUAACAAAAUCACAGCUGCCAUCUUUUCCACUCUCUUUGUGCCUUCUCGAAUAUUCCUUAGGUAAUGUAAUCUUUGAGGUAUGUUGGUGCCCUGCGCAUACGAACUGGACCUUUUGUGUGCUCCUCAACCAGCUGGGCUUCUUUCUCUGUUUCCCAUGCUGACUUGUCAUUAAUCUCGGGCAAGGUUGUAUCAUUCCCCAUCCCUUGAAAAUUUACCUUGUCCUCAAGGUGAAGCUCGGGAUAUAGCUUGUAAAACUCAUCAUAAGCCUCUCCCAGGACAUACUCAUCAUUAGUACCCAUCAACAACAAGAAUUUGCUGCGGCAGCGAUGGUUUGCACUAUAUUUCUGAUCACAAUUAUAACAUAACCCUUUUUCUCUUUUAUCCCGUAACUCAGCUGGAGUAAGUCGACGGAUUGGUAAAUUUAGGGUUGGUAAUAAUGGAGGUUGAGAUGGUGGUUUUGGUGUAGUAAUAACAGGGGCAGCAAGAGUAUUGGUAUUUUGAAAAGUGGAAGAGUUUGAUAAAACAGGGGAAAAAUUUUGUGGAGCUUGCGGUGUAGUAGGAGACCACUUUGACCAAGAACGACUGGUUGUUUUAGCUUAAUCAGAUCUAGCCUCAUAAGCUCUAGCAAGAGCAAAGGCUUCCAUGAGCGAAGUAGGUCGAGUAAACAACAACUCAUGACGGGUAUCAGGUUUUAAACCCGUGAUAAAGAAACUAAUUAACAAAGGCUCAGAUAUACCAGUAAUUUUGUUCAUUAAGUCUUCAAAAGCAGACUGAAAUUCGGCAACUGUGGUGGUCUGUGUUAACUUUGAAAGAUUCCCUUGAUGGUCUUCAUACAUGGAAGCUCCAAAGCGGCUCUUAAGACUGACCAAAAAACUUCACCAUGUGGUUAAGAGAUUGUUAGCUUUCAUCCAUUGAUACAAAGCAGCAGCUCUCCCUUCCAUGUGAAACGAUGCAAUGCAAAGACACAAAUUAUCUGGGGUCCCAUGGAGGUCAAAAAACUCGUUGAUGCGAAAAUCCCACCCGGUCGGAUUAGAGCCGUCAAACUUGGGAAUGUCCAUUUUCAUGGAACGUAAAAGCGGGGAAAAAUCUGUGCCCCCAGCAGAACCCUUUGUAAACGCUGACAUCAACUCCGAUGGUCGUGAAGGGCCACUCAAAACGCCGACAGACCCACGGAUUUGAGAUUGUAAUUCCUCAAAACGGGAAUCUACAGUGGACAUGUAUUGUUGUAAGGUCUGAUGCACAGAGAGUGUUUGCUUCUCAAGGAGCUCCUUCAUGGCGGAAAGAACUCCAGAAUCAAUCGUCUUUGUUGUCUCGGUCAUGGUGGAUUUUUUUUUUUUUGAAGAAGAAGAAGAAGGAGAAGAAGGCAAUGAAAGCACCAAUUGAUACAACUCUGCAACUCAGAGUUUAUAUCACAUAGCUACACUUUUUGGAGUAAGUGCUGACUCCCGCAAAAAGAAUUGAAAUUAAUGGAGAAACAGAGAUUGCAGGAGAAGACGGAGAGAGAAGAAGAAAUAUUUUCCAUUUCCUUGCUUUCUAUGACGUGUUCCCCUCUACAUAUAUCUUUUACCCCUCAACAUUACACGUGUAACUAACCAACAAAUGAAUGAUUCAAAGAAAAAACAGUCACAACAAAAUAACAAAAUCACAGCUGCCAUCUUUUCCACUCUCUUUGUGCCUUCUCGAAUAUUCCUUAGGUAAUGUAAUCUUUGAGGUAUGUUGGUGCCCUGCGCAUACGAACUGGACCUUUUGUGUGCUCCUCAACCAGCUGGGCUUCUUUCUCUGUUUCCC
Molecule: long non-coding RNA, 1974 nt
Filed under: Citrus maxima (pomelo)
Lineage: Eukaryota; Viridiplantae; Streptophyta; Magnoliopsida; Sapindales; Rutaceae
Description: long non-coding RNA (CMAX_LNC004028)
Source: RNAcentral